RNAcentral lists this ribosomal RNA (733 nucleotides) under uncultured bacterium. Its description in RNAcentral is "bacterial SSU rRNA". It matches the Rfam family "Bacterial small subunit ribosomal RNA", at positions 88 to 839 of the family's 1533-position model. The record is from RNAcentral.
AGGCUUAGUGGCGGACGGGUGAGUAACGCGCCUGUAACCUGGCCCAUACAGGGGGAUAACACUUAGAAAUAGGUGCUAAUACCGCAUAACAACAGAAAGCGCAUGCUUUUUGUUUGAAAACCAAGGUGGUAUGGGAUGGACCCGCGUCUGAUUAGCUGGUUGGCGGGGUAAAGGCCCACCAAGGCGACGAUCAGUAGCCGGCCUGAGAGGGUGGACGGCCACAUUGGGACUGAGACACGGCCCAAACUCCUACGGGAGGCAGCAGUGGGGAAUAUUGCACAAUGGGGGAAACCCUGAUGCAGCGACGCCGCGUGAGUGAAGAAGUAAUUCGUUAUGUAAAGCUCUAUCAGCAGGGAAGAAAAUGACGGUACCUGAGUAAGAAGCCCCGGCUAACUACGUGCCAGCAGCCGCGGUAAUACGUAGGGGGCAAGCGUUAUCCGGAUUUACUGGGUGUAAAGGGAGCGUAGACGGCAGUGCAAGUCUGGAGUGAAAGGCGGGGGCUCAACCCCCGGACUGCUCUGGAAACUGUACGGCUGGAGUGCAGGAGAGGUAAGUGGAAUUCCUAGUGUAGCGGUGAAAUGCGUAGAUAUUAGGAGGAACACCAGUGGCGAAGGCGGCUUACUGGACUGUAACUGACGUUGAGGCUCGAAAGCGUGGGGAGCAAACAGGAUUAGAUACCCUGGUAGUCCACGCCGUANACGAUGAUCACUAGGUGUCGGGGGUUAAAGAACCU